RNAcentral lists this long non-coding RNA (626 nucleotides) under Pogonomyrmex barbatus (red harvester ant). RNAcentral's name for it is "uncharacterized LOC105423424, transcript variant X3". Lineage: Eukaryota; Metazoa; Arthropoda; Insecta; Hymenoptera; Formicidae. The record is from RNAcentral.
UGGAGACUGCGUAUAACUUUGAUUACGUUCGUCUGGUGCAACCAGAGUUUAGACAUCUCGAUGAAGUUUGUUUACUUAACCACUCUCGCGUUAACAAUGCGUUUCACACAUUCGAGGCACUCGGCCAGCCAUCUAUCCGGGGAACUUUCCAAAAGGUCGUCUAGGGGUCCGAUUCUCGACACAUUGACGUUGACAUCCGACAGCUUCCACGGGGGUGGAGAAACCGGAACCGAUUAUACCUCGCGGCGUUCUCAUUGAACUUUCACCGCAGGCGCCGCGACAUUCGUCAUGUAUUGCCGUUUAGCACCGCAAGUUCGCACGCGUGGGGUUGAAUGAUCUUUCAAAGUUUAUUCCCACAGAGAAAACGGAAGGCAAAGAGAAAAUAUAAAUUGUAUGCAAGCUUCAAACCGUUUCUCCCUAAAGUACAGUUUCUUUUACAUGAGGAUUGAUUGGCAGAUCUACAUCACUCGAGAAUUUAAAAAACCAGUUUUAUCCUUAUAAAAGUUUAACACUGGAAAAUGAUGAUUAACUACUUAUUUUGUGUUUAUUAAAACCAUUAUUGUUCAAAUACUUUUAAUAUUCAAAAUAAGUCAUUUCCAGUAUUAAAAUGGUUAAUUAUUAAACUA